CCUACGGGUGGCAGCAGUGAGGAAUAUUGGUCAAUGGACGAGAGUCUGAACCAGCCAAGUAGCGUGAAGGAUGACUGCCCUAUGGUUUGUAAACUUCUUUUAUAUGGGAAUAAAAUGUUCCACGUGUGGGAUUUUGUAUGUACCAUAUGAAUAAGGAACGGCUAACUCCGUGCCAGCAGCCGCGGUAAUACGGAGGAUCCGAGCGUUAUCCGGAUUUAUUGGGUUUAAAGGGAGCGUAGGUGGAUUGUUAAGUCAGUUGUGAAAGUUUGCGGCUCAACCGUAAAAUUGCAGUUGAAACUGGCAGUCUUGAGUACAGGAGAGGUGGGCGGAAUUCGUGGUGUAGCGGUGAAAUGCUUAGAUAUCACGAAGAACUCCGAUUGCGAAGGCAGUUCACUGGACUGCAACUGACACUGAGGCUCGAAAGUGUGGGUAUCAAACAGGAUUAGAUACCCCAGUAGUC
Molecule: ribosomal RNA, 460 nt
Filed under: uncultured bacterium
Lineage: Bacteria
Description: partial 16S ribosomal RNA
Rfam family: Bacterial small subunit ribosomal RNA
Source: RNAcentral